AACCUGCCCAAGAGAUCGGGAUAACACCUGGAAACAGAUGCUAAUACCGGAUAACAACAGAUGAUGCCUAUCAACUGUUUAAAAGAUGGUCCUGCUAUCGCUCUUGGAUGGACCUGCGGUGCAUUAGCUAGUUGGUAGGGUAACGGCCUACCAAGGCGAUGAUGCAUAGCCGAGUUGAGAGACUGAUCGGCCACAUUGGGACUGAGACACGGCCCAAACUCCUACGGGAGGCAGCAGAG
Molecule: ribosomal RNA, 239 nt
Filed under: uncultured Lactobacillus sp.
Lineage: Bacteria; Bacillati; Bacillota; Bacilli; Lactobacillales; Lactobacillaceae
Description: partial 16S ribosomal RNA
Rfam family: Bacterial small subunit ribosomal RNA
Source: RNAcentral